This 574-nucleotide ribosomal RNA is filed under the name Wickerhamomyces sp. Its description in RNAcentral is "eukaryotic LSU rRNA". It matches the Rfam family "Eukaryotic large subunit ribosomal RNA", at positions 62 to 646 of the family's 3401-position model. The record is from RNAcentral. Lineage: Eukaryota; Fungi; Ascomycota; Saccharomycetes; Phaffomycetales; Wickerhamomycetaceae.
AAACCAACAGGGAUUGCCUCAGUAACGGCGAGUGAAGCGGCAAAAGCUCAAAUUUGAAAUCUAGUACCUUCGGUGCUCGAGUUGUAAUUUGAAGAUGGUAACUUUGGAGUUGGCCCUUGUCUAUGUUCCUUGGAACAGGACGUCACAGAGGGUGAGAAUCCCGUCUGACGAGGUGAUCCAACUCUAUGUAAAGUGCUAUCGAAGAGUCGAGUUGUUUGGGAAUGCAGCUCUAAGUGGGUGGUAAAUUCCAUCUAAAGCUAAAUAUUGGCGAGAGACCGAUAGCGAACAAGUACAGUGAUGGAAAGAUGAAAAGAACUUUGAAAAGAGAGUGAAAAAGUACGUGAAAUUGUUGAAAGGGAAGGGUAUUAGAUCAGACUUGGCGUUUUAUGAUUAUCUUCCCUUCUUGGGUUGUGCACUCGUAUUGCGCUGGGCCAGCAUCGAUUCGGAUGGCAGGAUAAUGGCAAUUGAAUGUGGCAUCCACUUCGGUGUAUGUGUUAUAGCUUUUGUUGAUGCUGCCUAUCUGGAUCGAGGACUGCGUCUUUUGACUAGGAUGUUGGCGUAAUGAUCUAAUAUC